AUCAUCAGCUCUAACACAACUCACACAUGCAAGUCUCCGCAACCCGGUGAACACGCCCUCAGUCCCCCACCCGGGGAAGAGGAGCAGGCAUCAGGCACAAAAAUUAGCCCAAGACGCCUAGCCCAGCCACACCCCCAAGGGAAUUCAGCAGUGAUAAACAUUAAGCCAUAAGUGAAAGCUUGACUCAGUUAGUGUUAAUGAGGGCCGGUAAAACUCGUGCCAGCCACCGCGGUUAGACGAGAGGCCCCAGUUGAUAAUUUUAACGGCGUAAAGGGUGGUUAAGAAUAAAUAACAAAUAAAGCCAAAUGGCCCUUUGGCCGUCAUACGCUUCUAGAUGUCUGAAGCCCUAAUACGAAAGUAGCUUUAACCCCAUCUGACCCCACGAAAGCUAAGAAACAAACUAGGAUUAGAUACCCUACUAUGCUUAGCCGUAAACUUAGACAUCCAACUACAAUUAGAUGUCCGCCAGGGUACUACAAGCAUUAGCUUAAAACCCAAAGGACUUGACGGUGUCUCAGACCCCU
RNAcentral lists this ribosomal RNA (524 nucleotides) under Garra rufa. Its description in RNAcentral is "partial small subunit ribosomal RNA". It matches the Rfam family "Bacterial small subunit ribosomal RNA", at positions 23 to 930 of the family's 1533-position model. Lineage: Eukaryota; Metazoa; Chordata; Actinopteri; Cypriniformes; Cyprinidae. The record is from RNAcentral.